ACGCUCGACACCUACUGGAGGCAGCAGUAGGGAAUAUUGGGCAAUGGGGGAAACCCUGACCCAGCAACGCCGCGUGAGGGAAGAAGGUUUUCGGAUUGUAAACCUCUGUCCUAUGGGACGAAGGAAGUGAACGGUACCAUAGGAGGAAGCUCCGGCUAACUACGUGCAGCAGCCGCGGUAAUCUGAGCGGGCUGGCAAGGC
RNAcentral lists this ribosomal RNA (201 nucleotides) under uncultured bacterium. RNAcentral describes it as "partial 16S ribosomal RNA". It matches the Rfam family "Bacterial small subunit ribosomal RNA", at positions 328 to 539 of the family's 1533-position model. The record is from RNAcentral.